UGAAGAAUUUAUCCAACGGCGGGGGAUAGCCGGCCCAACGGCCGGGUAAUACCGCGUACGACCCUCGGGGGGCAUCCCCUGAAGGUGAAAGCCGCAAGGCGCCGAUGGAGAACUUUGCGGCCUAUCAGCUAGUUGGUGAGGUCAUGGCUCACCAAGGCGACGACGGGUAGCUGGUCCGAGAGGAUGACCAGCCACAUUGGGACUGAGACACGGCCCAGACCUCCGUACGGGGAGGCAG
Molecule: ribosomal RNA, 238 nt
Filed under: uncultured bacterium
Lineage: Bacteria
Description: partial 16S ribosomal RNA
Rfam family: Bacterial small subunit ribosomal RNA
Source: RNAcentral